UCCGUAGGGUGCAAGCGUUAAUCGGAAUUACUGGGCGUAAAGCGCGCGCAGGCGGCGAUCUACGUCUGGGGUGAAAGCCCGGAGCUCAACUCCGGGACUGCCUUGGAUACGGGAUCGCUUGAGAAUUGGAGAGGCAAGGGGAAUUCCACGUGUAGCGGUGAAAUGCGUAGAUAUGUGGAGGAACACCUGUGGCGAAGGCGCCGUGCUGGCCAAUUUCUGACGCUGAGGCGCGAAAGCGUGGGGAGCAAACAGG
Molecule: ribosomal RNA, 253 nt
Filed under: uncultured bacterium
Lineage: Bacteria
Description: partial 16S ribosomal RNA
Rfam family: Bacterial small subunit ribosomal RNA
Source: RNAcentral